Gasterosteus aculeatus aculeatus (three-spined stickleback) is the source of this 602-nucleotide long non-coding RNA. The record is from Ensembl. NCBI's taxonomy places the organism in Eukaryota, Metazoa, Chordata, Actinopteri, Perciformes, Gasterosteidae.
GUUGUUUGUUUCUAACAACAGCAAGUGAGUGUUUGUCCUCUACAGUCAAUCCCAGAGACACAUCUCUGUCUCUGUGCUCUUACAUCUUACGGAGAAGCUCGGCGGAAUCUAAUGAGAGUGGAGGGAAAGAAAGAGAAACCCAAUCAGUGUUCAGGGGUCCUGGCAGGGCGCCGGAGGGGGCUUUGGGUUUCCGUGGCAACACGGCGGAGGGUCCGUACAGUAAGUCCGUCAGGCCCCCCGCCGCGCACACUUCAUCGUCUUCUUCUGUGGUGUUCAGCGAAACAACGAAGGGAAAAGAGAAGAAUAAGGAGGUGAAAGGUGGAGGAUAAAACAAGGAGAGGAAAACAUGGAGGGAAGAAGAAAUAGAGCCCGCCCCCCUGAUCUCCUCCUCCUCCUCCUCCUCCGUGAGGAAGAGUUACACUGUUUGUUUGGAGACAGAACACGGGGACGUUGUUGUGAAGAAGAAAGAAGAAGUAAACAAAUUGGGACACAAACUAAACGUGUAUUUUUUCACACAAGAAGAAAAUCUAUUACAACAAACAGCUUUAAACAAUAAAAAGGUGAUUUUAUACCAGACAUUUCAUUUCUCAACAACAACAACA